This 329-nucleotide ribosomal RNA is filed under the name uncultured eukaryote. Its description in RNAcentral is "partial 18S ribosomal RNA". It matches the Rfam family "Eukaryotic small subunit ribosomal RNA", at positions 1470 to 1796 of the family's 1831-position model. The record is from RNAcentral.
CCCUUAGAUGUUCUGGGCCGCACGCGCGCUACACUGAUGCAUUCAACGAGUCUAAAACCUGCUCUGAUAGGGGUGGGUAAUCUUUUGAAUGUGCAUCGUGAUUGGGAUAGAUGAUUGCAAUUUUUCAUCUUCAACGAGGAAUGCCUAGUAAACGCAAGUCACCAGCUUGCAUUGAUUACGUCCCUGCCCUUUGUACACACCGCCCGUCGCUCCUACCGAUUGAAUGAUCCGAUGAAUAUCAUGGAUUGAGGAUGCAAGUAGGUUCGCCUAUCUUCAUCUUCGAGAAGUGAAGUAAAUCUUAUCAUUUAGAGGAAGGAGAAGUCGUAACA